GACGAACGCUGGCGGCGCGCCUAACACAUGCAAGUCGAACGGAGCUGAGAGAAGCUUGCUUUUCUUAGCUUAGUGGCGAACGGGUGAGUAACGCGUGAGUAACCUGCCCUGGAGUGGGGGACAACAGUUGGAAACGACUGCUAAUACCGCAUAAGCCCACGAUCCGGCAUCGGACUGAGGGAAAAGGAUUUCUUCGCUUCAGGAUGGACUCGCGUCCAAUUAGCGAAUGGGUGAGGUAACGGCCCACCAAGGCGACGAUUGGUAGCCGGACUGAGAGAUUGAACGGCCACAUUGGGACUGAGACACGGCCCAGACUCCUACGGGAGGCAGCAGUGGGGAAUAUUGGACAAUGGGGGAAACCCUGAUGCAGCGACGCCGCGUGGAUGAAGAAGGUUUUCGGAUUGUAAACACCUGUCGUGAGGGACGAUAAUGACGGUACCUAACAAGAAGGCACCGGCUAACUACGUG
RNAcentral lists this ribosomal RNA (468 nucleotides) under uncultured bacterium. RNAcentral's name for it is "partial 16S ribosomal RNA". It matches the Rfam family "Bacterial small subunit ribosomal RNA", at positions 28 to 507 of the family's 1533-position model. The record is from RNAcentral.